Molecule: ribosomal RNA, 799 nt
Filed under: Lamiomimus gottschei
Lineage: Eukaryota; Metazoa; Arthropoda; Insecta; Coleoptera; Cerambycidae
Description: partial 12S ribosomal RNA
Source: RNAcentral
AAUAAUACAACUUAAUUUUUUUUAGUAUUAAUAUAUUUUUAAUAUUUUAAUUUUAAGGAAAGGUUUAUAAGGUGAAAUUUUUAAAUUUUUUAAUAAAUUAAUUAUUGAUAAUUAUUUAAUAAAUUUGUUAAUAAACUAGGAUUAGAUACCCUAUUAUUAUAAAUGUAAAUUUAAACUAGAUUAGUAGUAGUUAUGUUCUUGAAAAUUAAAAAAUUUGGCGGUUUUUUAGUCUAUUCAGAGGAAUCUGUCCCAUAAUCGAUAAUCCACGAUUUGAGUUACCUAAGUUAUUAGUUUGUAUAUCGUCGUAGUUUGAAUAUUUUAUAAGAAAUUAAAUGUUCAUAAUUUUUUUAAAAAAAGUAAAUCAGAUCAAGAUAUAGCUUAUACUUAGGGGGUGAUGGAUUACAUUAAUUUUAAUUUAGGAUUUAAAAUUUAAAAUUUUAAUGAAUAAGGAUUUGAAAGUAAUUUUAUAUAAAAUUAUAAAAUGAUUAUAGCUCUAAAAUAUGCACAUAUCGCCCGUCGCUUUCACUUUAAAGUGAAAUAAGUCGUAACAAAGUAGGCUUACCGGAAGGUGAGCCUAGAAAGGGACAAGUUAGAGCUUGAUAUAAAGUAUUUUAUUUACAUUAAAAAGUUAAUUGUGAAAUUCAAUUUAACUUGAUUUUGAAAAUAUUAUUUUUAAUAAGAUUUAAUUUUUAUUUAGAAAAAAAAAUUAGUUUUUAGUAUAAUUAAGAAAUAAUUAUUUUUAUAAUAGAUUAUUAGUAUUGUGAAAGAUUUAUUUUAAGAUUUUAAAAGAAAAUUUUAU